RNAcentral lists this ribosomal RNA (253 nucleotides) under uncultured bacterium. RNAcentral's name for it is "partial 16S ribosomal RNA". It matches the Rfam family "Bacterial small subunit ribosomal RNA", at positions 524 to 776 of the family's 1533-position model. The record is from RNAcentral.
UACAGAGGUCCCAAGCGUUGUUCGGAUUCACUGGGCGGAAAGGGUGCGUAGGCGGUCGGGUAAGUCUGAUGUGAAAUCUCACAGCUUAACUGUGAAACUGCAUUGGAUACUAUUCGGCUUGAGAGUUGGAGGGGGGACUGGAAUUCUUGGUGUAGCAGUGAAAUGCGUAGAUAUCAAGAGGAACACCAGUGGCGAAGGCGAGUCCCUGGACAACUUCUGACGCUGAGGCACGAAAGCUAGGGGAGCAAACAGG